UUUCUCCCCUUAUCACUCCUGAGUCUUUUCUUCCAGGGAAGUUCUCAGAGAAGAAGGGUAUGCUGUGGACUGUAGCCCUUCUUGUAGCUUUCCUUGCUCCUGGCAUUCACGUAACUGCCAACCCAGAACAAAGGACACUGGUCACCCAGUCAGCUGGGUCGUCCGUUAUAAUCACUUGUGGGAUUUCUCAACAAAGUAACUACAUCCACUGGUACCGGUACCAGGAGGGAAAGGCCCUGCAACGCCUUUUGUACUAUGAGUUUUCUAGCUCUUCUGUUGCAAUGGAUUCGGGAUUCAACCCAAGGAAGUAUCAAGCUUAUGAGGGCCCAGGGAAGAGUUGUAAAUUUGUAAUACGCAAUCUGGAAGAAAGUGAUUCUGGAGUGUAUUACUGUGCCACCUGGGAUGACACAGUGGUUCAGACCUGCCCAAAGCCACACUGA
This is a non-coding RNA of Ochotona princeps (American pika), 440 nucleotides long. NCBI's taxonomy places the organism in Eukaryota, Metazoa, Chordata, Mammalia, Lagomorpha, Ochotonidae. The record is from the annotation of a RefSeq genome assembly.